This 497-nucleotide ribosomal RNA is filed under the name uncultured bacterium. RNAcentral describes it as "partial 16S ribosomal RNA". It matches the Rfam family "Bacterial small subunit ribosomal RNA", at positions 28 to 507 of the family's 1533-position model. The record is from RNAcentral.
GAUGAACGCUGGCGGCGUGCCUAAUACAUGCAAGUCGAGCGAACGGACGAGAAGCUUGCUUCUCUGAUGUUAGCGGCGGACGGGUGAGUAACACGUGGAUAACCUACCUAUAAGACUGGGAUAACUUCGGGAAACCGGAGCUAAUACCGGAUAAUAUUUUGAACCGCAUGGUUCAAAAGUGAAAGACGGUCUUGCUGUCACUUAUAGAUGGAUCCGCGCUGCAUUAGCUAGUUGGUAAGGUAACGGCUUACCAAGGCAACGAUGCAUAGCCGACCUGAGAGGGUGAUCGGCCACACUGGAGCUGAGACACGGUCCAGACUCCUACGGGAGGCAGCAGUAGGGAAUCUUCCGCAAAGGGCGAAAGACUGACGGAGCAACGCCGCGUGAGUGAUGAAGGUCUUCGGAUCGUAAAACUCUGUUAUUAGGGAAGAACAUAUGUGUAAGUAACUGUGCACAUCUUGACGGUACCUAAUCAGAAAGCCACGGCUAACUACGUG